Molecule: ribosomal RNA, 253 nt
Filed under: uncultured bacterium
Lineage: Bacteria
Description: partial 16S ribosomal RNA
Rfam family: Bacterial small subunit ribosomal RNA
Source: RNAcentral
UACGUAGGGUGCAAGCGUUGUCCGGAAUUAUUGGGCGUAAAGAGCUCGUAGGCGGUCUGUCGCGUCGAAUGUGAAAACCCGGGGCUCAACCCCGGGCCUGCAUUCGAUACGGGCAGACUAGAGUUCGGUAGGGGAGACUGGAAUUCCUGGUGUAGCGGUGAAAUGCGCAGAUAUCAGGAAGAACACCCGUGGCGAAGGCGGCUCUCUGGUACGUGACUGACGCUGAGACGCGAAAGCGUGGGGAGCGAUCCGG